RNAcentral lists this ribosomal RNA (113 nucleotides) under Octodon degus (degu). The record is from RNAcentral. Lineage: Eukaryota; Metazoa; Chordata; Mammalia; Rodentia; Octodontidae.
GCAAGCCCCAUAUUGCACUGAAAGCACACGAUCUUGUCUGAUCUUGGAAGCUAAGCAGCGUUGGGCCUAGUUAGUACUUGGUUGGGAGUUUUGUACUUUGAUUGUGGCCUUCA